This 253-nucleotide ribosomal RNA is filed under the name uncultured bacterium. Its description in RNAcentral is "partial 16S ribosomal RNA". It matches the Rfam family "Bacterial small subunit ribosomal RNA", at positions 524 to 776 of the family's 1533-position model. The record is from RNAcentral.
UACGUAGGGACCAAGCGUUGUUCGGAUUUACUGGGCGUAAAGGGCGCGUAGGCGGCUUAACAAGUCACUUGUGAAAUCUCCGGGCUUAACUCGGGACGGCCAAGUGAAACUGUCAAGCUAGAGUGCAGAAGGGGCAAUCGGAAUUCUUGGUGUAGCGGUGAAAUGCGUAGAUAUCAAGAGGAACACCUGAGGUGAAGACGGGUUGCUGGGCUGACACUGACGCUGAGGCGCGAAAGCCAGGGGAGCAAACGGG